AGACCGAUAGCAAACAAGUACGGUGACGGAAGAUUGAAAAGAACUUUGAAGAGAGAGUUCAAUAGUACGUGAAACUGUGUGGUGGUAAACGGAGGGGUUCUCGAAGUUUCUGUAGGGUACUCAGCCUUGGAGUUGGGCGGUCUGGUGGUAUCCGAUCAGCAAUGACGGUGCUGCUAGUCUGGCUUGGCUCACGGGUGCAUUUCCCCUGCAGUUUACGGCAGGAACUGUUUAGAGCAGACCUAAGGCUCUGGGUGAAGUUGGAGGCCUAGCUUUCAGCCCUGGAUGUUCUGGCUUUGCACUAGACAGGUACUUGAGGAGACUCGUAUAGCGAGCAAUGCUCUGUUGCGGUUUCCAUCUCUCUGCCGAGUAGGUCGGUGGCCCCUCCGACCCGUCUUGAAACACGGAC
Molecule: ribosomal RNA, 406 nt
Filed under: Paracalanus sp. JH33.27
Lineage: Eukaryota; Metazoa; Arthropoda; Copepoda; Calanoida; Paracalanidae
Also listed under: 1 other name
Description: eukaryotic LSU rRNA
Rfam family: Eukaryotic large subunit ribosomal RNA
Source: RNAcentral